AAAAAAUUAAGCGGAGCAAAUGCGGCCGGACCACCCACUCCGCUCCAAGAAACUAAUCCGGCCCGCCCCAUUUACAUGCGUUCCGCCUUCCCCUCUUUCUAUGCUUCUCUGGUCCCUGCAGCACGGAGCCGCUAACUGGGCCGUCUCUACUGAGUGCCGAGUCUCCAGCAAGCUUCAUCUCUCGUCUGGGUCGUCUCUUCCAUUCCACGGUAUCUGUCUGAGAUUUGAGGUCAUUUCUUUACUCCCUUGUUUUGAUGUUUACAGUGGUUUGGGUGAUUUUAUUCCGACCUUGAAUCCAUCGCCGUAUCUAUCCGUCGCUUGGUCGUGUGGCUGUUCAGCUAUUAGAUGCUGGAAUGGUUUGUUUCUGAUGGGAUAACUUUCAAUAUAAUCCUGUUUUCACCAAUUAGAGCAUUCUCACUUAGCUGUGGUUUUAUCUGAUUUGGAAACUUUCUUCACUGCGGAAAUGAAAAAAGUGUUUGUGGGAUCUUUUGCUUUGAAACGAUCAAUAUCAACUUUGCCUCAUCUUUGUGAGAGAGUUAAGCAAACAGAAAAUGAGAUAGUGCAAAUGUUCUACUCGCCCACUGCAAGGGAUUUGAUGCAAAACUUGCCUGUGAGUGGAAAACUGUCAAGAAAGGAUCCAUCAGUUCGGAAAUUGGAUGAAAGGUUUACGAGGAUCUUGAAAAUUUUCAAGUGGGGACCCGAUGCAGAGAAGGCAAUGGAAGUAAUGAAGCUGAGAUUGGAUCACCGAUUAAUUCUUGAGGUUUUGAAGAUUGAUGUUGAGGUCAUUGUGAAAGUUCAGUUUUUCAAAUGGGCUGCAAAAAGAAGAAAUUUUCAUCAUGACCCAAGCACUUACAUGGCUUUAAUCCGCUGCUUAGAUGAAGCAAGGUUAUUUGGUGAAAUGUGGCAGACUAUCCAAGAGAUGGUUCGAGCUAUAUCUAUUCUUGAUCCUGCUCAGUUAUCUGAAAUCAUAAGUAUAUUGGGAAAGGCUAAGAUGGUGAACAAGGCCCUAUCUAUCUUUUACUGGGUAAAAGGCCGCAAGUGCAAGCCAACAACUAAUACAUACAACUCGAUGAUCUUGGUAUUAAUGCAAGAAGGUCAUCAUGAAAAGAUUCAUGAACUUUAUAAUGAAAUGUGUAAUGAGGGAGAUUGUUUUCCAGACACUGUUACAUACAAUGCGCUUAUAUUAGCAUUUAAGAAAUUGGGUCGUCAUGAUUUUGCCAUCAGAUUGUUUGAUGAGAUGAAGGAGAAUGGCCUACAGCCAACUGCGAAGAUAUUUACCAACUUAUUGGGAGUAUAUUUCAAGUUGGGCAAGGUUGAAAAAGCUUUGGAUCUUUUCAGGGAGAUGAAGGAAAGGGGAUGUUGCCCUACUGUGUUUACUUAUACAGAAUUAAUAAAGGGUCUUGGUAGUGCUGGGAAGAUUGAAGAUGCCUACAAUAUCUAUAAGAAUCUCCUGAGAAAUGGUUGUAAACCAGAUGUAGUACUCAUGAACAAUUUAAUUAACAUCUUUAGCAAGGCAGGUCGCCUAGAAGAUGCCCUUAGUUUUUUUGAGGAGAUGGAGUCUCUUAGUUGUAUACCUACUGUUGUGACUUACAACUCUAUCCUAAAAGCUUUAUUUGAAUCAAGAGCUCCAAUUUCUGAGGUUUCUGUAUGGUUCGAGAAGAUGAAGGCAAAUGGUGUUGCUUCUAGCUCAUUUACCUACUCAAUUCUUAUAGAUGGAUUUUGUAAAAGAGGUAGAGUUGAGAAAGCUUUGUUACUUCUUGAAGAGAUGGAUGAAAAAGGUUUUCCUCCUUGUCCAGCUGCCUAUUGCAGCUUGAUCAACAGUCUUGGAAAGGCAAAACGGUAUGAAGCUGCAAAUGAGCUGUUUCUAGAAUUGAAAGAGAACUGUGGACGUUCAAGUGCUCGGGUGUAUGCUGUGAUGAUUAAGCAUUUUGGAAAGUGUGGCCUUCUUAAUGAAGCAUUGGAUCUAUUUAAUGAGAUGAAGAGACUUGGUUGUGAUCCUGAUGUUUAUGCAUAUAAUGCUCUAAUGUCAGGAAUGGUGAGGGCUGGCAUGGUAGAUGAAGCUCAUUCCUUACUUAAAACUAUGGAAGAAAAUGGUUGUGUUCAGGACUUAAAUUCACACAACAUUAUUCUAAAUGGCUUGGCUAAGACAGGUGGCCCAAAGCGGGCUAUGGAAAUGUUUACAAAAAUGAAGCAUUCUAAGAUCAAGCCAGAUGCAGUUUCUUACAACACUGUUCUUGGUUGUCUUAGUCGAGCUGGUAUGUUAGAGGAUGCUGCAAAGCUUAUGAAAGAAAUGAAUUUAAUUGGGUUUGAGUACGAUGCUAUCAGUUACUCAUCCAUACUUGAGGCUGUUGGCAAGGUUGAUGAAGUUCACAGUUUCACCACUAAGUGAAAGAGACCUGUAUGCUGCAGAAUGUUUGGGUGUCAACUGGCAAGCAACAAUAUGUGCCCUUCCGGUAGCUCAUAUGAAAGAGGCUUCUUAUGUCCAGCCUCAAUUUAUAUUCCUUCAUAUCAUUUCUUUAAGCUCCCAAAGGUUGCAUUUAAAGACGACGGUCAUUGGAUUCAUAUGCUUAUUACAGUGCAGACAUACUACUAGAUUCUUUAAACAUUUACAAGAAACUUCAUUAAAUGGAACAAUCCAUCAACAGUUCAUCCAAUAACUUAGAAGGAGCAUCACACUCCCUAUAACUACGAUCAGAAAUAAAACAAAAACAAGCAGUUCGAGCCAAGAAAUGAGCUGCUUGAUUGGCAGACUGUUUGAUACAAAACAGAAAUACAUCUCUCAAACUAGAAAUCAAAGACUUGUAAUCAGCAACAAGUAAUCUGAAUGAUGAGACCAUCUUGAUUGAGCUUCUGAUGGCCUGUACUGUAAUAAGGCAAUCGGUUUCCACUAUGACAUGCUGCAUAUUCUGCGGUUUCCACUAUAGCUUCUGUUUCCUCAGGUUGCACACUUCCACGGAACUGCCGAGUCUUUGCUGCUAAUAGUUUUCCUUCAUAGUUACGGGCUAUCCAACCAACUCCAUAGCUCCCAAAUUCUUCAAAAGUGGCUGCAUCUCUUGACCAUAUUCGCAUCUGGUUUGACCAUAUUCGCAUCUGGUUUGGUUCAAUGCUCAUUCUCGUCACUUGAUGGUUGGUAGUGUUUUGGAUAUGUCGAGAAGAAUUUGGCGCUUGAAAUGAAAUAGGAUGUUGGAAUGUCGCGGCAUGGUAUCAGCAUUGCGUUUGCCAGCUACCUGCUUGGAAGGCUCACUUGGGAAGCUAAAGUUUUGUCUUAUCCAACUCAGCUUUUGGAUUUAUUUUGAUUUGGGCUGACUAGUAAUUAAAUGAUAUUGGGCCUUUAACUUCUUUUGGUCCAUUGGCUUACAAAGAGAAGAAAAAAGAAGCAAAAAAUGAGGCCCACUUGGGUAUUUUGGAGAGGAUGACCUAACUACAUCAAUGACACCUUUCCCAUUAGGGAUAACAGAAAGAAAGGCAGAACAGCCGCCUGAUGCAGAGCUUUACCCAUUUUUGGAGGAGCUUAACUGUGAAGGAGAAGGAGGAAAGGAAAAGGCCGAAGGACAAAGUUACUUGGAGACAUCUUAUUGGCUUGACACUCACUUUAUUCUUUAUUCUCUUAGUUUUUCUUGAAUUUUCCCUCUAAUUUUCUGAACAUGGAGUUUAUUUACUUGGGUGUAGUUGAGAUAUUAAUUAUGAUAGGUGUUGACUAUGAUUUUAGCCGCGAGUCGACGCAAAAGCAACAAUAACCUUGAAUAGAAAGUAAAUAACACAAGGAAUUUUUAUAGUGGUUCA
Molecule: RNA transcript, 3783 nt
Organism: Humulus lupulus (European hop)
Lineage: Eukaryota; Viridiplantae; Streptophyta; Magnoliopsida; Rosales; Cannabaceae
Gene name: pentatricopeptide repeat-containing protein At3g16010
Exons: 7
Source: RefSeq, a predicted model, not a curated record